RNAcentral lists this ribosomal RNA (117 nucleotides) under Sinocyclocheilus rhinocerous. The record is from RNAcentral. Lineage: Eukaryota; Metazoa; Chordata; Actinopteri; Cypriniformes; Cyprinidae.
AGCCACAGCCACAUCACCCUGCAGCCCAAGACUGGUUGCCCACUGAAGCUAAGCAGGGUUGAGCCUGGUCAGUACCUGGAUGGGAGACCUCCUGGGAAAACUAGGUUGCUGUUGGAA